Molecule: long non-coding RNA, 1292 nt
Filed under: Dromaius novaehollandiae (emu)
Lineage: Eukaryota; Metazoa; Chordata; Aves; Casuariiformes; Dromaiidae
Description: lncRNA (ENSDNVG00000016231.1)
Source: RNAcentral
UGAGUCAAUAGACAAUGAAUUCCAACUGAUACAGGAUAAUAAGUGGAUACUUUCAGUACUGCUUGAUGGGGCGGGCUAGUAUCUGCAAUGUGACAAGCCACUGGAAACCACCUUUCUGAAGCACUUUUGCAUGUUGCCAGGCUUUUGUGAAUAUCGCAAUGGAAAUCAUUUUGAGGUCUCUAUACUGCAUUGUAAUCAUGACAGACCUACUUGGCAGACCAAAAAAUCUGAUCUCUCGAAACAUCUGGACAGCAAUCAAAGAGCACUGUUAAGCAGCCUGUUGAAUUUAUGAGACAUUAUCCUUGUAUGGAGCCUAUCAAAAAAGAACCUUUAUAAAUAUGAACGCCAGAAUUAAAGCUAAAGGUGAGCCAUAACUCUUUAUUUCAGCAAGAUCUUGGUUACAAAUUAACUUUGCUAAUGCUUAGUGCACAAGGGCUUAUCCCACAUGUUGUUUCAGGAAAUGGAUCCUGUUGCUGUUCUCUGGAGACACGUUAUAUCAUUCCUGCGCAUUUUUUAAGUCAAUAACGUUGCAGAGACUGGUAUAAUUAAGAGUUGCAUGCAGAAAGGUGGAGGUUGUUGGUAAAAGGGGAAUGGGAAGACAAUUGCAUAAUCUGAUACUUUAAAAUUUCUGAAAUCCCAGGAAGAUCUCUGKUUUUUUAAUUGCUUUUUUAAAACAUUUUAAAAUAUGUUUGAGGUCAAUUUAGCUGGAAUAAUUUAGAAAAGUUAGUAAUAGUAGAAAUAUACUAGCCAAGGUAGUCUAAGGUAUAAGCCAGGCGAGUUUURUGGGAAGAGAUACUGUAUUUUAUUAGAUGAGCUAAUAUGUUUGUGAAAAGCAUACAAGCUUUUGGGCUUACUAGCCGUUGAUACCAUGCAUAAGCUUCAAAUAAGUUUUCAAGGAUCUUUAGCAUUGAUAUGAAUAGGACUUCUUUAACUCAGCAUGUUGCCAUAACUGAACCUUUUAACUUCUUCCUUUCAGAUUAGAUCCUAAAAGACUGUUGCGUAGGUAUUGGCCUUUUCUGUGCCAAUCCACCGAGGUCUGUCAGCAUAUAUGUAAAACUCGCCAAGAGUGUAUUUUGUGUAUGAUCUGCUAUACAAAUCUAAAUAUCCCAUUUUGUAGGAAGUAGUUAGGUAUUAGGGCUAUGAAAUGGCACAAUCAUGUAGGUAGCUAAUUUGUAACAGCUUGGUACUUUUUUCUGUGAAUGUAGCGAUAGGCAGAAUCCCUGCUUAUGUUCAUGCACCCCCUGAUUGCCCCGUGAUAUAUGUACAUUUGAGAGGGGAGGAAUAGUUUGGGA